Molecule: ribosomal RNA, 253 nt
Filed under: uncultured bacterium
Lineage: Bacteria
Description: partial 16S ribosomal RNA
Rfam family: Bacterial small subunit ribosomal RNA
Source: RNAcentral
UACAGAGGUCUCAAGCGUUGUUCGGAUUCAUUGGGCGUAAAGGGUGCGUAGGUGGCGGGGUAAGUCUGGUGUGAAAUCUCGGGGCUCAACCCUGAAACUGCACAGGAUACUGCCUUGCUCGAGUACUGGAGAGGAGAUUGGAAUUUACGGUGUAGCAGUGAAAUGCGUAGAUAUCGUAAGGAAGACCAGUGGCGAAGGCGAAUCUCUGGACAGUUACUGACACUGAGGCACGAAGGCCAGGGGAGCAAACGGG